This 253-nucleotide ribosomal RNA is filed under the name uncultured bacterium. RNAcentral's name for it is "partial 16S ribosomal RNA". It matches the Rfam family "Bacterial small subunit ribosomal RNA", at positions 524 to 776 of the family's 1533-position model. The record is from RNAcentral.
UACGUAGGGGGCAAGCGUUGUCCGGAUUUAUUGGGCGUAAAGAGCUCGUAGGCGGUUCCGUAAGUCAGGUGUGAAAAAUCUGGGCUCAACCCAGUGGAGCACCUGAUACUGCGGUGACCCGAGUCCGGUAGGGGAGUGUGGAAUUCCUGGUGUAGCGGUGAAAUGCGCAGAUAUCAGGAGGAACACCGGUGGCGAAGGCGGUUCUCUGGGCAUUACCUGACGCUGAGGAGCGAAAGUGUGGGGAGCGAACUGG